This 253-nucleotide ribosomal RNA is filed under the name uncultured bacterium. Its description in RNAcentral is "partial 16S ribosomal RNA". It matches the Rfam family "Bacterial small subunit ribosomal RNA", at positions 524 to 776 of the family's 1533-position model. The record is from RNAcentral.
UACGUAGGCAGCAAGCGUUGUUCGGAAUUACUGGGCGUAAAGAGUGUGUAGGCGGUGCUCUAAGUUCGGUGUGAAAUCUCCCGGCUCAACUGGGAGGGUGCGGCGGAAACUGGAGUGCUAGAGGGUGGGAGAGGAAAGCGGAAUUCCUGGUGUAGCGGUGAAAUGCGUAGAUAUCAGGAGGAACACCAAUUGCGAAGGCAGCUCGCUGGGACGUUACUGACGCUGAGACGCGAAAGCGUGGGGAGCAAACAGG